This 439-nucleotide ribosomal RNA is filed under the name uncultured bacterium. RNAcentral describes it as "bacterial SSU rRNA". It matches the Rfam family "Bacterial small subunit ribosomal RNA", at positions 958 to 1397 of the family's 1533-position model. The record is from RNAcentral.
AACGCGAAGAACCUUACCCAGACUUGACAUGCAGGAGAAUUUAGCAGAGAUGUUAAAGCCCGUAAGGGCUGCUGCACAGGUGCUGCAUGGCUGUCGUCAGCUCGUGCCGUGAGGUGUUGGGUUAAGUCCCGCAACGAGCGCAACCCUUAUCGUUAGUUGCCAGCAUGUAAUGGUGGGGACUCUAACGAGACUGCCUGGGUUAACCAGGAGGAAGGUGAGGAUGACGUCAAGUCCGCAUGGCCCUUAUGUCUGGGGCCACACACGUGCUACAAUGGCCGGUACAGAAGGCAGCGAAGUCGCGAGAUGGAGCAAAUCCCAAAAGCCGGUCUCAGUUCGGAUUGUAGUCUGCAACUCGACUACAUGAAGCUGGAAUUGCUAGUAAUGGCGUGUCAGCUACAACGCCGUGAAUACGUUCCCGGGCCUUGUACACACCGCAUAC